UACGUAGGGGGCAAGCGUUGUCCGGAAUUACUGGGCAUAAAGCGCACGUAGGCGGUCCACUAAGUCUCAUGUGAAAUCUCCCGGCUCAACCGGGGAAUUGCGCGAGAUACUGGUGGGCUAGAGAUCGGUAGGGGUGAGUGGAACUCCAGGUGGAGCGGUGAAAUGCGUAGAUAUCUGGAGGAACACCGGUGGCGAAAGCGGCUCACUGGACCGACACUGACGCUGAGGUGCGAAAGCUAGGGUAGCAAACGGG
This 253-nucleotide ribosomal RNA is filed under the name uncultured bacterium. RNAcentral's name for it is "partial 16S ribosomal RNA". It matches the Rfam family "Bacterial small subunit ribosomal RNA", at positions 524 to 776 of the family's 1533-position model. The record is from RNAcentral.